UCCAGCUUAUUACCGGCAGUCCCACUAAAGUGCCAACACGAAGUUAGGGCAACUAGUGGUAAGGGUUGCGCUCGUUGCGUCACUUAAGACAACAUCUCACGACACGAGCUGACGACAGCCAUGCAGCACCUGUGUCUAGGUUCCUUGCGGCACAAUUCCAUCUCUGGAAUCUUCCUAGCAUGUCAAGAGCAGGUAAGGUUCUUCGCGUUGCAUCGAAUUAAUCCACAUCAUCCACCGCUUGUGCGGGUCCCCGUCAAUUCCUUUGAGUUUUAAUCUUGCGACCGUACUCCCCAGGCGGUCUACUUCUCGCGUUAGCUUCGCUACUAAGGUUUUACCCCCAACAGCAAGUAGACAUCGUUUAGGGCGUGGACUAC
This 374-nucleotide unclassified non-coding RNA is filed under the name uncultured Gammaproteobacteria bacterium. RNAcentral's name for it is "contains 16S-23S intergenic spacer region". The record is from RNAcentral. Lineage: Bacteria; Pseudomonadati; Pseudomonadota; Gammaproteobacteria.